GAUGAACGCUGGCGGCGUGCCUAAUACAUGCAAGUCGAGCGAACAGACGAGGAUCUUGCUCCUUUUACGUUAGCGGCGGACGGGUGAGUAACACGUAGGUAACCUACCUAUAAGACUGGGAUAACUUCGGGAAACCGGAUCUAAUACCGGAUAAUAUUUCGAACCGCAUGGUUCGAUAGUGAAAGAUGGCUUUGCUAUCACUUAUAGAUGGACCUGCGCCGUAUUAGCUAGUUGGUAAGGUAACGGCUUACCAAGGCAACGAUACGUAGCCGACCUGAGAGGGUGAUCGGCCACACUGGAACUGAGACACGGUCCAGACUCCUACGGGAGGCAGCAGUAGGGAAUAUUCCGCAAUGGGCGAAAGCCUGACGGAGCAACGCCGCGUGAGUGAUGAAGGUCCUCGGAUCGUAAAACUCUGUUAUUAGGGAAGAACAACCGUGUAAGUAACUGUGCACGUCUUGACGGUACCUAAUCAGAAAGCAACGGCUAACUACGUG
RNAcentral lists this ribosomal RNA (497 nucleotides) under uncultured bacterium. Its description in RNAcentral is "partial 16S ribosomal RNA". It matches the Rfam family "Bacterial small subunit ribosomal RNA", at positions 28 to 507 of the family's 1533-position model. The record is from RNAcentral.